CAGAUAGUAGUUUAAGAAAAAUAUUAGCAUUGGAAGCUAAAGAUUAAAUUUUAAUUUGUUAUCUGA
RNAcentral lists this transfer RNA (66 nucleotides) under Katharina tunicata (black chiton). Its description in RNAcentral is "tRNA-Pro". It matches the Rfam family "tRNA". Rfam says of the family: Transfer RNA (tRNA) molecules are approximately 80 nucleotides in length. Their secondary structure includes four short double-helical elements and three loops (D, anti-codon, and T loops). Further hydrogen bonds mediate the characteristic L-shaped molecular structure. tRNAs have two regions of fundamental functional importance: the anti-codon, which is responsible for specific mRNA codon recognition, and the 3' end, to which the tRNAs corresponding amino acid is attached (by aminoacyl-tRNA synthetases). tRNAs cope with the degeneracy of the genetic code in two manners: having more than one tRNA (with a specific anti-codon) for a particular amino acid; and 'wobble' base-pairing, i.e. permitting non-standard base-pairing at the 3rd anti-codon position. The record is from RNAcentral. Lineage: Eukaryota; Metazoa; Mollusca; Polyplacophora; Chitonida; Mopaliidae.